RNAcentral lists this ribosomal RNA (535 nucleotides) under uncultured bacterium. RNAcentral's name for it is "bacterial SSU rRNA". It matches the Rfam family "Bacterial small subunit ribosomal RNA", at positions 777 to 1304 of the family's 1533-position model. The record is from RNAcentral.
AAUAGAUACCCGGGUAGUCCACGCCGUAAACGGUGGGCACUAGGUGUGGGCAACAUUCCACGUUGCCCGUGCCGCAGCUAACGCAUUAAGUGCCCCGCCUGGGGAGUACGGCCGCAAGGCUAAAACUCAAAGGAAUUGACGGGGGGCCCGCACAAGCGGCGGAGCAUGUGGCUUAAUUCGACGCAACGCGAAGAACCUUACCAAGGCUUGACAUACACCGGAAACGUCUGGAGACAGGCGCCCCCUUGUGGUCGGUGUACAGGUGGUGCAUGGCUGUCGUCAGCUCGUGUCGUGAGAUGUUGGGUUAAGUCCCGCAACGAGCGCAACCCUUGUCCCGUGUUGCCAGCAGGCCCUUGUGGUGCUGGGGACUCACGGGAGACCGCCGGGGUCAACUCGGAGGAAGGUGGGGACGACGUCAAGUCAUCAUGCCCCUUAUGUCUUGGGCUGCACACGUGCUACAAUGGCCGGUACAAUGAGCUGCGAUACCGUGAGGUGGAGCGAAUCUCAAAAAGCCGGUCUCAGUUCGGAUUGGGGU